AGUGAACGCUGGCGGUAGGCCUAACACAUGCAAGUCGAACGGCAGCACAGUAGGAGCUUGCUCUUACGGGUGGCGAGUGGCGGACGGGUGAGGAAUACAUCGGAAUCUACUUUUUCGUGGGGGAUAACGUAGGGAAACUUACGCUAAUACCGCAUACGACCUACGGGUGAAAGCAGGGGAUCUUCGGACCUUGCGCGAUUGAAUGAGCCGAUGUCGGAUUAGCUAGUUGGCGGGGUAAAGGCCCACCAAGGCGACGAUCCGUAGCUGGUCUGAGAGGAUGAUCAGCCACACUGGAACUGAGACACGGUCCAGACUCCUACGGGAGGCAGCAGUGGGGAAUAUUGGACAAUGCGCGCAAGCCUGAUCCAGCCAUACCGCGUGGGUGAAGAAGGCCUUCGGGUUGUAAAGCCCUUUUGUUGGGAAAGAAAAGCAGCAGGUUAAUACCCCGCUGUUCUGACGGUACCCAAAGAAUAAGCACCGGCUAACUUCGUG
RNAcentral lists this ribosomal RNA (492 nucleotides) under uncultured bacterium. Its description in RNAcentral is "partial 16S ribosomal RNA". It matches the Rfam family "Bacterial small subunit ribosomal RNA", at positions 29 to 507 of the family's 1533-position model. The record is from RNAcentral.